AGUGAACGCUGGCGGUAGGCCUAACACAUGCAAGUCGAACGGCAGCACAGUAAGAGCUUGCUCUUACGGGUGGCGAGUGGCGGACGGGUGAGGAAUACAUCGGAAUCUACUUUUUCGUGGGGGAUAACGUAGGGAAACUUACGCUAAUACCGCAUACGACCUACGGGUGAAAGCAGGGGAUCUUCGGACCUUGCGCGAUUGAAUGAGCCGAUGUCGGAUUAGCUAGUUGGCAGGGUAAAGGCCCACCACGGCGACGAUCCGUAGCUGGUCUGAGAGGAUGAUCAGCCACACUGGAACUGAGACACGGUCCAGACUCCUACGGGAGGCAGCAGUGGGGAAUAUUGGACAAUGGGCGCAAGCCUGAUCCAGCCAUACCGCGUGGGUGAAGAAGGCCUUCGGGUUGUAAAGCCCUUUUGUUGGGAAAGAAAAGCAGCAGGUUAAUACCCCGCUGUUCUGACGGUACCCAAAGAAUAAGCACCGGCUAACUUCGUG
RNAcentral lists this ribosomal RNA (492 nucleotides) under uncultured bacterium. RNAcentral's name for it is "partial 16S ribosomal RNA". It matches the Rfam family "Bacterial small subunit ribosomal RNA", at positions 29 to 507 of the family's 1533-position model. The record is from RNAcentral.